CCCAACUAUCCCUAUUAAUCAUUACGUCAAUCCUAGAAACCAACAAAAUAGGAUCGAACGUCCUAUUUCAUUAUUCCAUGCUAAUGUAUUCAAGCGCAUGCCUGCUUUAAACACUCUAAUUUUUUCAAAGUAACAGUCCUGAUUCCCCGCAACACCAAAUUAAUGGCAUUACGGUUCGUCAAGAGGGAGGAAUCAGCAACGCCAGUACGUACCAGUGGCACGACCGACAUGCUGACCCCGAAAUUCAACUACGAGCUUUUUAACUGCAACAACUUUAAUAUACGCUAUUGGAGCUGGAAUUACCGCGGCUGCUGGCACCAGACUUGCCCUCCAA
RNAcentral lists this unclassified non-coding RNA (334 nucleotides) under uncultured Glomeraceae. Its description in RNAcentral is "sequence contains 18S rRNA gene". Lineage: Eukaryota; Fungi; Glomeromycota; Glomeromycetes; Glomerales; Glomeraceae. The record is from RNAcentral.